UGCUUAACGCCUUCUUCCAGUAAACUGAGAGCAAGUUCCAACAUCGGUGACUCAUUGAGAAGAUGGUACAUCAGACUAAAGCCAGGUGGCUUAUAAGCUAUGAUUUCUUCUCCUAAAUAAGACAGUCCGUAAGAUGAAUAAUCAUUCUCCAAGCUAUACAUGCAUACCUGAGUAUAUUCCAAUGACUGCCAAAGUGAAGCAGCAAUUUCAGGAGACUUUCCAAAAGCUGCAAGUGUCUUCAGGAGCUCGGCUUUGAGAACCGGGGGAAUACUGCACUGCAGGAGUCCCAGAAUCACCACCACAGGCGUCCACUGAGGAUGUUCACAAAGGGCCAAGCGAGCAUUUUCACUCUGAGAUUUGAAGACGAAAUUUAUUGUAUUUAUUUACCUAGGACUUUUGUUUUAUGAGAGUGGCUUUCGCUAUGUUAUGUA
Long non-coding RNA from Mesocricetus auratus (golden hamster), 431 nucleotides. RefSeq lists it as uncharacterized. NCBI's taxonomy places the organism in Eukaryota, Metazoa, Chordata, Mammalia, Rodentia, Cricetidae. The record is from RefSeq and is a predicted model, not a curated record. The transcript is spliced from 2 exons.